GGCCCUAUGGUGUAAUGGUCAGAACGCUGGACUCUGAAUCCAGCGAUCCGAGUUCAAAUCUCGGUAGGACCU
This 72-nucleotide transfer RNA is filed under the name Saccoglossus kowalevskii. Its description in RNAcentral is "tRNA-Gln". It matches the Rfam family "tRNA". From Rfam's summary of the family: Transfer RNA (tRNA) molecules are approximately 80 nucleotides in length. Their secondary structure includes four short double-helical elements and three loops (D, anti-codon, and T loops). The record is from RNAcentral. Lineage: Eukaryota; Metazoa; Hemichordata; Enteropneusta; Harrimaniidae.